Long non-coding RNA from Seriola aureovittata, 573 nucleotides. RefSeq lists it as uncharacterized. The transcript has 4 exons. The record is from RefSeq and is a predicted model, not a curated record. NCBI's taxonomy places the organism in Eukaryota, Metazoa, Chordata, Actinopteri, Carangiformes, Carangidae.
GCUGGGGACCCCCAGGACCACCCUGGUCCUUCAACUGCGUCGGAUGACUGGAGGGACAAGCCGGUUGAAAGGGAGGUGGAAGACGAACAGCCAAGAAGAGAUGGAUGGGUAGAAGAGGACAGCAGCCCUCAUUUUCCUGCGAGGAGACGCUGAGCCAGCACGGGACUUCUUGAAAAGAAGCUACUGUCCUCCGCUGGGAGUGGAGUGUUGAGGCUGCUGUUGGCCAAACAAAGGCGGCACACCAAGAGGCCUGAACUGGUAUAAAAAGAAAGGAGAGGACUUCUAAGGUAGAAGAAGCGAGAGGAAAGAGGCUGAAGAAGUCAAGAAAUGAAGGGGUGAACAUUUUUCUGAACUGGAUCACCUGCGCCUGAACCUGCAGAGUCAUGAUAGGCCUCCAUCCUCUUUCUGUGUAUGCAGGGAGACAGACUGGGUGUGUGUCAGGCAGGUCAGGUGGCGUAUGCAGGUGUGUCCGACUCAUGUAGUUACGAUGCCGCUGUGAUCUAACCCGUCUCUCCUGGAUCCGCUGUUCGCCUGGCGGGCCGCUGGCCACGGCCCCAUUAACGGGAGUCAUCA